RNAcentral lists this long non-coding RNA (199 nucleotides) under Elaeis guineensis (African oil palm). Its description in RNAcentral is "long non-coding RNA (EGUI_LNC019224)". Lineage: Eukaryota; Viridiplantae; Streptophyta; Magnoliopsida; Arecales; Arecaceae. The record is from RNAcentral.
AAUGCAUCAGUUUAGCAUCAAUUUAUGAAGACAAUAAGGAAAAAAAAAGAAAGAAAGAAAAGAAGUUUCGAUCUGGAUGAGAAAGUUGGUCAUCACCGACCGCCGUGUAUUGAGUCAGUUCGACGAUGAGAAGGCGGCAUGGUUUUGAUGGUGGGAUGGCAUCGGAAGGAGCUCGGGUGAGUCAUUGGGAGCACAUGCA